RNAcentral lists this ribosomal RNA (292 nucleotides) under uncultured Acidothermus sp. Its description in RNAcentral is "partial 16S ribosomal RNA". It matches the Rfam family "Bacterial small subunit ribosomal RNA", at positions 505 to 796 of the family's 1533-position model. The record is from RNAcentral. Lineage: Bacteria; Bacillati; Actinomycetota; Actinomycetes; Acidothermales; Acidothermaceae.
GUGUCAGCCGCCGUGGUAAUACGUAGGGCGCGAGCAUUGUCCGGAAUUAUUGGGCGUAAAGAGCUCGUAGGCGGCUUGUAGCGUCUGCUGUGAAAUCCCGGGGCUUAACCCCGGGCGUGCAGUGGAUACGGGCAGGCUGGAGGCAGGCAGGGGAGAACGGAAUUCCCGGUGUAGCGGUGAAAUGCGCAGAUAUCGGGAGGAACACCGGUGGCGAAGGCUGUUCUCUGGGCCUGUUCUGACGCUGAGGAGCGAAAGCGUGGGGAGCGAACAGGAUUAGAUACCCGCGUAGUCC